GACGUAGGGGGCGAGCGUUGUCCGGAUUUAUUGGGCGUAAAGCGUGCGUAGGCGGCUGCGCAAGUCGGGUGUGAGACCCCGGGGCUCAACCCCGGAACUGCAUCCGAUACUGCGUGGCUAGAGGUAGGUAGGGGAGAUCGGAAUUCCUGGUGUAGCGGUGAAAUGCGCAGAUAUCAGGAGGAACACCGGUGGCGAAGGCGGAUCUCUGGGCCUUACCUGACGCUCAGGCACGAAAGCUAGGGGAGCGAACAGG
This 253-nucleotide ribosomal RNA is filed under the name uncultured bacterium. Its description in RNAcentral is "partial 16S ribosomal RNA". It matches the Rfam family "Bacterial small subunit ribosomal RNA", at positions 524 to 776 of the family's 1533-position model. The record is from RNAcentral.